Molecule: ribosomal RNA, 346 nt
Filed under: uncultured bacterium
Lineage: Bacteria
Description: partial 16S ribosomal RNA
Rfam family: Bacterial small subunit ribosomal RNA
Source: RNAcentral
CCUACGGGUGGCAGCAGUGGGGAAUUUUGGACAAUGGGCGCAAGCCUGAACCAGCCAAGCCGCGUGAGGGAAGACUGCCCUAUGGGUUGUAAACUUCUUUUAUAAGGGAAACAUAAUGACUACUUGUAGUCAGAUGCACGCACCUUAUGAAUAAGCCUCGGCUAACUCCGUGCCAGCAGCCGCGCUAAUACGGAGGAUGCGAUCGUUAUCCGGAUUUAUUGGGGUUAAAGGAUGCGUGGGCGGUAUUUUACGGUAGUGGAAAAACGUCGGGGUGUCACCUUGAUUGGCCAUGGAAACUGGGGUACUGGAGUACAGACGAGGUAGGCGGAAUAAGGAAAGUAGCGGU